Molecule: ribosomal RNA, 184 nt
Filed under: Babesia odocoilei
Lineage: Eukaryota; Apicomplexa; Aconoidasida; Piroplasmida; Babesiidae
Description: partial small subunit ribosomal RNA
Rfam family: Eukaryotic small subunit ribosomal RNA
Source: RNAcentral
GUCUGGUGCCAGCAGCCGCGGUAAUUCCAGCUCCAAUAGCGUAUAUUAAACUUGUUGCAGUUAAAAAGCUCGUAGUUGAAUUUCUGCGUCACCGUAUUUUGACUUUUGUCGACUGUCGGUUUCGCUUUUGGGAUUUAUCCCUUUUUACUUUGAGAAAAUUAGAGUGUUUCAAGCAGACUUUUGU